Molecule: ribosomal RNA, 447 nt
Filed under: uncultured bacterium
Lineage: Bacteria
Description: bacterial SSU rRNA
Rfam family: Bacterial small subunit ribosomal RNA
Source: RNAcentral
UGGGGAAUUUUGGACAAUGGGGGCAACCCUGAUCCAGCAAUGCCGCGUGAGUGAUGAAGGCCUUAGGGUUGUAAAGCUCUUUUGCCGGGGACGAUAAUGACGGUACCCGGAGAAUAAGUCCCGGCUAACUUCGUGCCAGCAGCCGCGGUAAUACGAAGGGGACUAGCGUUGUUCGGAAUCACUGGGCGUAAAGCGCACGUAGGCGGAUUUGUAAGUCAGGGGUGAAAUCCCGGGGCUCAACCUCGGAACUGCCUUUGAUACUGCGGAUCUCGAGUCCGAUAGAGGUGAGUGGAAUUCCUAGUGUAGAGGUGAAAUUCGUAGAUAUUAGGAAGAACACCGGUGGCGAAGGCGGCUCACUGGAUCGGUACUGACGCUGAGGUGCGAAAGCGUGGGGAGCAAACAGGAUUAGAUACCCACGUAGUCCCUGAGCGGGCUGGCAAGGCGCAU